Molecule: ribosomal RNA, 253 nt
Filed under: uncultured bacterium
Lineage: Bacteria
Description: partial 16S ribosomal RNA
Rfam family: Bacterial small subunit ribosomal RNA
Source: RNAcentral
UACGUAGGGGGCAAGCGUUGUCCGGAAUCAUUGGGCGUAAAGAGCGUGUAGGCGGCUCGAUAAGUCUGCUGUGAAAGUCCAGGGCUCAACCCUGGAAGGCCGGUGGAAACUGUCGGGCUAGAGUCCGGAAGAGGCGAGUGGAAUUCCCGGUGUAGCGGUGAAAUGCGCAGAUAUCGGGAGGAACACCAAUGGCGAAGGCAGCUCGCUGGGACGGUACUGACGCUGAGACGCGAAAGCGUGGGGAGCAAACGGG